GGAGGACUAGUACAGGGUCAGGACUUCCACUACUGUGCUUUGUCAGUGGAGACCAUGUGGGGUGCAGGGAUGAGAUAGUCCUGUCCUUCUCAGCCAGUAUUUUACAAUGUUUUGACAUCUUAAAAGCUUGCUGACCAGAGAGACUGUCCCAUCCAGCGAAAGCCAGUUUUCAGAGACAGCAAAGGACUCACUGGGCGUGUCUUUCAAACGCAAACCAACCAAUCUUGGGUACCAGGCAAUUAGAGACCACUCCUACAGCCCCAAACCCUAUG
RNAcentral lists this long non-coding RNA (272 nucleotides) under Homo sapiens (human). Its description in RNAcentral is "non-protein coding lnc-PRG4-1:1". The record is from RNAcentral. Lineage: Eukaryota; Metazoa; Chordata; Mammalia; Primates; Hominidae.